Molecule: ribosomal RNA, 403 nt
Filed under: uncultured bacterium
Lineage: Bacteria
Description: bacterial SSU rRNA
Rfam family: Bacterial small subunit ribosomal RNA
Source: RNAcentral
UGAGGAAUAUUGAGCAAUGGGCGCAAGCCUGACUCAGCAACGCCGCGUGGAUGAAGAAGGCCUUCGGGUUGUAAAAUCCUUUUCUGAGGGAAGAUAAUGACGGUACCUCAGGAAUAAGUUCCGGCUAACUACGUGCCAGCAGCCGCGGUAAAACGUAGGGGACAAGCGUUAUCCGGAUUUACUGGGCGUAAAGCGCCCGUAGGCGGCUUAACAAGUUGGAUGUGAAAGCUCCCGGCUUAACUGGGAGAGGUCAUUCAAAACUGUUAGGCUAGAGGAUGGAAGAGGAGAGCGGAAUUCCCGGUGUAGUGGUGGAAUGCGUAGAGAUCGGGAGGAACACCAGUGGCGAAAGCGGCUCUCUGGUUCACACCUGACGCUGAGGGGCGAAAGCGUGGGGAGCGAACGG